Molecule: ribosomal RNA, 469 nt
Filed under: uncultured bacterium
Lineage: Bacteria
Description: bacterial SSU rRNA
Rfam family: Bacterial small subunit ribosomal RNA
Source: RNAcentral
CCAGACUCCUACGGGAGGCAGCAGUAGGGAAUCUUCGGCAAUGGGCGAAAGCCUGACCGAGCAACGCCGCGUGAAUGAAGAAGGCCUUCGGGUUGUAAAAUUCUGUUAUAAGGGAAGAAAGGUGAUAGGAGGAAAUGACUAUCAAUUGACGGUACCUUAUGAGAAAGCCACGGCUAACUACGUGCCAGCAGCCGCGGUAAUACGUAGGUGGCAAGCGUUAUCCGGAAUUAUUGGGCGUAAAGAGCGCGCAGGUGGUUAAUUAAGUCUGAUGUGAAAGCCCACGGCUUAACCGUGGAGGGUCAUUGGAAACUGGUUGACUUGAGUGCAGAAGAGGGAAGUGGAAUUCCAUGUGUAGCGGUGAAAUGCGUAGAGAUAUGGAGGAACACCAGUGGCGAAGGCGGCUUCCUGGUCUGCAACUGACACUGAGGCGCGAAAGCGUGGGGAGCAAACAGGAUUAGAUACCCCUGUA